This 372-nucleotide long non-coding RNA is filed under the name Mytilus galloprovincialis (Mediterranean mussel). The record is from RNAcentral. Lineage: Eukaryota; Metazoa; Mollusca; Bivalvia; Mytilida; Mytilidae.
ACUUUAAUGAACAUGUAUGCUGGGACUAGUAAUAUGUAUUUUUGAUUUAAAACUUGAACACUUUUGUUUGAACUUUACAUUGUUACAUAUAUUUGUUUAAAUAUUCAUUUACAAUGGCAGUUUCUACACAUCAAGUAUGUUGUUUAGGGACCAUGUUUCUGUCCACACAUUUUUGGUGAAACCACUAGGCAGCCAUGCAGCAACAAGUGAUGGAGCAACAAGUGAUGCAGCAAUGUGCACAUCAGUUUUGCAGGCUUUACAAUUCCACUCUGCAGUAUCCAAUUUUGAAGUUAUAGAUCUUUCAAUGGUUGUAAAUAUAGGAAGAUGUGGUAUGAGUGCCAAUGAGACAACUUUACAUCCAAGUCACAAUUU